AGCACGAUUCAUCGCCCUCUCUCCCCGAACCCUAGGUUCGCCUAGGGUUCGUACUGGCUCCGCCGCCCGACAGCUGGUUGCCCGUACCCUUCGAUCUGCAAAUCCCACAAAUUCGGCUGCAAAUGUCCACCUUCUCUCUCCCCCCCCUCUCUCCCCUCUCAAACCCUAUGUUCGACUAGGGUUCGUACUCUCUCUGCCGCGCUACCGCCGCUUGCCCAUAUCCGCCGCGGAUCCGGCCUCUCUCUCUCUCUUUCUCUCUCUCCCCCUUGAUUCCUAUGUUUGCCUAGGGUUCGUACACUCCCCGCCGCGCUACCGCCGUUUGCCCAUAUCUGUCGAGGAUCCGGACAUUUAAUACCGCCGCGGAACGUACGCCUCUCUAUAGUCGCCCCCCCCCCGCGGGCAUGGCCGAGGCGUUUUGUAUCCUCAGCGAUCUCAAGCUCCCCAUGUUGGGCUAUGCGAUGGACAUCAGGGUCUUCGAGUUCUCCCCUGUUUGGAAGAUUUUUACCUUCCUUCUCGGCGGCUAAUCCUAAGGUGGUGGUAAUUUAUGUGCGCAUUACUUUUUUGUGACAUAAGGUAUUAUCUGAGUUGAUCUAAAGAGUGAUCUGUGUAUACUUGAUGUGAAAUUUGCGUAAGAAGAGGCAAAACAGUCUUGCUCUGAAGUUUGACAGUUCAAAUGUUGUUUUGAUCUCUCCUAAAAGUUUAGAUAUGGAUCUUUGGUUCUAGAAAAAGCCGUUGUUACCUUUUUUCCCUGUUGUUUGUGAUGCUGGGAGGUUAUUUAA
Ananas comosus (pineapple) is the source of this 779-nucleotide long non-coding RNA. RefSeq lists it as uncharacterized. The record is from RefSeq and is a predicted model, not a curated record. NCBI's taxonomy places the organism in Eukaryota, Viridiplantae, Streptophyta, Magnoliopsida, Poales, Bromeliaceae. The transcript has 2 exons.